This is a non-coding RNA of Sparassis crispa, 71 nucleotides long. NCBI's taxonomy places the organism in Eukaryota, Fungi, Basidiomycota, Agaricomycetes, Polyporales, Sparassidaceae. The record is from the annotation of a RefSeq genome assembly.
GCAUGCGUGGUGUAGCGGUAACAUUGGGUCUUCCCAUGGCCUAGCUCCGGGUUCGACUCCCGGCGCAUGCA